RNAcentral lists this microRNA (22 nucleotides) under Oreochromis niloticus (Nile tilapia). RNAcentral's name for it is "oni-miR-10708". The record is from miRBase by way of RNAcentral. Lineage: Eukaryota; Metazoa; Chordata; Actinopteri; Cichliformes; Cichlidae.
CUGCUGUUGUGUAAUGGGUUGC